This 460-nucleotide ribosomal RNA is filed under the name uncultured bacterium. RNAcentral's name for it is "partial 16S ribosomal RNA". It matches the Rfam family "Bacterial small subunit ribosomal RNA", at positions 338 to 795 of the family's 1533-position model. The record is from RNAcentral.
CCUACGGUGUGCAGCAGUGAGGAAUAUUGGUCAAUGGACGAGAGUCUGAACCAGCCAAGUAGCGUGAAGGAUGACUGCCCUAUGGGUGGUAAACUUCUUUUAUAAAGGAAUAAAACGAGGCACGUGUGCCUUUUUGCAUGUACUUUAUGAAUAAGGAUCGGCUAACUCCGUGCCAGCAGCCGCGGUAAUACGGAGGAUCCGAGGGUUAUCCGGAUUUAUUGGGUUUAAAGGGAGCGUAGAUGGGUUGGUAAGUCAGUUGUGAAAGUUUGCGGCUCAACCGUAAAAUUGCAAUUGAUACUGGCAGUCUUGAGUACAGUUGAUGUAGGCGGAAUUCGUGGUGUAGCGGUGAAAUGCUUAGAUAUCACGAAGAACCCCGAUUGCGAAGGCAGCUUACUAAACUGUGACUGACAUUGAUGCUCGAAAGUGUGGGUAUCAAACAGGAUUAGAUACCCGUGUAGUC